RNAcentral lists this ribosomal RNA (256 nucleotides) under uncultured bacterium. RNAcentral's name for it is "partial 16S ribosomal RNA". It matches the Rfam family "Bacterial small subunit ribosomal RNA", at positions 521 to 776 of the family's 1533-position model. The record is from RNAcentral. RNAcentral also lists the same sequence under 1 other name.
UAAUACGAAGGGGGCUAGCGUUGUUCGGAAUCACUGGGCGUAAAGCGCACGUAGGCGGACCAUUAAGUCAGGGGUGAAAGCCUGGAGCUCAACUCCAGAACUGCCUUUGAUACUGAUGGUCUCGAGUUCGGAAGAGGUUGGUGGAACUGCGAGUGUAGAGGUGAAAUUCGUAGAUAUUCGCAAGAACACCAGUGGCGAAGGCGGCCAACUGGUCCGAUACUGACGCUGAGGUGCGAAAGCGUGGGGAGCAAACAGG